CCUACGGGGGGCAGCAGUGAGGAGUAUUGGUCAAUGGGCGCGAGCCUGAACCAGCCAAGUCGCGUGAGGGAGGACGGUCCUACGGGUUGUAAACCUCUUUUGCCGGGGAGCAACGGGCGCCACGUGUGGCGUCACUGAGAGUACCCGGAGAAAAAGCAUCGGCUAACUCCGUGCCAGCAGCCGCGGUAAUACGGAGGAUGCGAGCGUUAUCCGGAUUUAUUGGGUUUAAGGGGUGCGUAGGCGGAUCGUUAAGUCAGUGGUCAAAUUGAGGGGCUCAACCCCUUCCCGCCAUUGAAACUGGCGUUCUUGAGUGGGAGAGAAGUAUGCGGAAUGCGUGGUGUAGCGGUGAAAUGCAUAGAUAUCGCGCAGAACCCCGAUUGCGAAGGCAGCAUGCCGGCUUCCGACUGACGCUGAGGCACGAAAGCGUGGGGAUCGAACAGGAUUAGAUACCCGAGUAGUC
This 460-nucleotide ribosomal RNA is filed under the name uncultured bacterium. Its description in RNAcentral is "partial 16S ribosomal RNA". It matches the Rfam family "Bacterial small subunit ribosomal RNA", at positions 338 to 795 of the family's 1533-position model. The record is from RNAcentral.